RNAcentral lists this ribosomal RNA (406 nucleotides) under uncultured bacterium. Its description in RNAcentral is "partial 16S ribosomal RNA". It matches the Rfam family "Bacterial small subunit ribosomal RNA", at positions 30 to 526 of the family's 1533-position model. The record is from RNAcentral.
AUUGAACGCUGGCGGCAGGCCUAACACAUGCAAGUCGAACGAGCGGCGGACGGGUGAGUAAUGUCUGGGAAACUGCCCGAUGGAGGGGGAUAACUACUGGAAACGGUAGCUAAUACCGCAUAUCAUCGGAUGUGCCCAGAUGGGAUUAGCUUGUAGGUGAGGUAACGGCUCCCCAAGGCUACGAUCCCUAGCUGGUCUGAGAGGAUGACCAGCCACACUGGAACUGAGACACGGUCCAGACUCCUACGGGAGGCAGCAGUGGGGAAUCUUGCGCAAUGGGCGCAAGCCUGAUGCAGCCAUGCCGCGUGUAUGAUGAAGGCCUUCGGGUUGUAAAGUUCUUUCAGCGGGGAGGCGUUACCUGCAGAAGAAGCCCCGGCUAACUCCGUGCCAGCAGCCGCGGUAAUUC